Molecule: long non-coding RNA, 513 nt
Organism: Oncorhynchus tshawytscha (Chinook salmon)
Lineage: Eukaryota; Metazoa; Chordata; Actinopteri; Salmoniformes; Salmonidae
Source: Ensembl
CAUGGCAGGUAACUACUAUUCAUUCACUAAGUACCAUAGGAGAUUAUACUAUUCAUUCACUAUACAACAUGGCAGGUAACUACUAUUCAUUCACUGUACAACAUGGCACGUAACUACUAUUCAUUCACUAUACAACAUGGCAGGUCAUUACUAUUCAUUCACUGUACAACAUGGCAGGUAACUGCUAUUCAUUCACUAAGUACCAUAGGAGAUUAUACUAUUCAUUCACUAUACAACAUGGCAGGUCAUUACUAUUCAUUCACUGUACAACAUGGCAGGUAACUGCUAUUCAUUCACUAUACAACAUGGCAGGUAGCUACAAUUCAUUCACUAAGUUCCAUAGGAGAUUAUACUAUUCAUUCACUAUACAACAUUUUUAUUUUUUUAUUUUUUUAUUUUUUAUUUCACCUUUAUUUAACCAGGUAGGCCAGUUGAGAACAAGUUCUCAUUUGCAACUGCGACCUGGCCAAGAUAAAGCAUAGCAGUGUGAGCAGACAACACAGAGUUACACAU